This is a long non-coding RNA of Armigeres subalbatus, 800 nucleotides long. RefSeq lists it as uncharacterized. The record is from RefSeq and is a predicted model, not a curated record. The transcript is spliced from 3 exons. Lineage: Eukaryota; Metazoa; Arthropoda; Insecta; Diptera; Culicidae.
GUAAUCCACAGAACAACAAACCAAGUGUUGUUGUCUGUAACAGUCAGACCUCAGGACUGGAACAGUUUCCCUAAAAUCUUUUACACUCCGUAACUCGAAGACUAGUUAGCGAGUAAUCAACCCCAAAACCCCACCUGCAGUGGAAAAACUACUAUCGAAAAUAAGCAUAAUGUCGCGAUACACCCAUCUUGGAUGUCGGAUUCAGCAGCAAUUAGACGCGCCCGCGCCCCGUCAUCAGAACACCAACAGCCGUGGAACUACAAACCGCUCAUUGAAGGGUUUGCAGCUGUUACAUCCGCAACCUCCGCAACUACCUCCGGUGGAAACUGUCUUUUUUCAUCUAUGCUGCUUGUGGGAAGUAUUUUCACCUCCCGCCGGUAUAAGCAAAUACAUCUCUGCAGGCUGUUAUAAACCUACUUGUUCCCGUGAAAAACUGAAGCCGUUCCUUCCGGCUAGUGUCGACUGUCUAUAAGACUACUAUCGGAACGAUAAUAUUAGCGGUGCUUUCUACCAUCGGGGUGGAACAUCUCCUGCACGACAUAACGGGCGAGUUGUACUUCCUGCAGUGCUAAUCCAAGCGGCAACAGGAUUUGGCGAAUUCACACCAAAGCUGCCCAGACGUGUGGUUAUGACCCACGGGCACCGAGAAACAACGGAAACAGCAAACCAUCGAUCUGAUUCAGGGGCUAGCGAGCACCGCAGGCAUACAGUAGCAACCGAGACACCACAAUCAAGCAGCCUAUUUACUGCGCUGACAGCCCAUCGAAAGCCCCGACACAAACCAUGGAAUGCGGAAUCUG